GGGUUGUGAGGUUAAGCGACUAAGCGUACACGGUGGAUGCCCUGGCAGUCAGAGGCGAUGAAGGACGUGCUAAUCUGCGAAAAGCGUCGGUAAGGUGAUAUGAACCGUUACAGCCGGCGAUGUCCGAAUGGGGAAACCCAGUGUGAUUCGUCACACUAUCGUUAACUGAAUACAUAGGUUAACGAGGCGAACCGGGGGAACUGAAACAUCUAAGUACCCCGAGGAAAAGAAAUCAACCGAGAUUCCCCCAGUAGCGGCGAGCGAACGGGGAGCAGCCCAGAGUCUGAAUCAGCUUGUGUGUUAGUGGAACGGUCUGGAAAGUCCGACGGUACAGGGUGAUAGUCCCGUACACCAAAAUGCACAGGCUGUGAACUCGAAGAGUAGGGCGGGACACGUGGUAUCCUGUCUGAAUAUGGGGGGACCAUCCUCCAAGGCUAAAUACUCCUGACUGACCGAUAGUGAACCAGUACCGUGAGGGAAAGGCGAAAAGAACCCCGGCGAGGGGAGUGAAAAAGAACCUGAAACCGUGUACGUACAAGCAGUGGGAGCACCUUCGGGUGUGACUGCGUACCUUUUGUAUAAUGGGUCAGCGACUUAUAUUCUGUAGCAAGGUUAACCGUAUAGGGGAGCCGCAGGGAAACCGAGUCUUAACUGGGCGUUAAGUUGCAGGGUAUAGACCCGAAACCCGGUGAUCUAGCCAUGGGCAGGUUGAAGGUUGGGUAACACUAACUGGAGGACCGAACCGACUAAUGUUGAAAAAUUAGCGGAUGACUUGUGGCUGGGGGUGAAAGGCCAAUCAAACCGGGAGAUAGCUGGUUCUCCCCGAAAGCUAUUUAGGUAGCGCCUCGUGAAUUCAUCUUCGGGGGUAGAGCACUGUUUCGGCUAGGGGGUCAUCCCGACUUACCAACCCGAUGCAAACUACGAAUACCGAAGAAUGUUAUCACGGGAGACACACGGCGGGUGCUAACGUCCGUCGUGAAGAGGGAAACAACCCAGACCGCCAGCUAAGGUCCCAAAGUCACAGUUAAGUGGGAAACGAUGUGGGAAGGCACAGACAGCCAGGAUGUUGGCUUAGAAGCAGCCAUCAUUUAAAGAAAGCGUAAUAGCUCACUGGUCGAGUCGGCCUGCGCGGAAGAUGUAACGGGGCUAAACUGUGCACCGAAGCUGCGGCAGCGACACUAUGUGUUGUUGGGUAGGGGAGCGUUCUGUAAGCCUGCGAAGGUGGCCUGUGAGGGUUGCUGGAGGUAUCAGAAGUGCGAAUGCUGACAUAAGUAACGAUAAUGCGGGUGAAAAGCCCGCACGCCGGAAGACCAAGGGUUCCUGUCCAACGUUAAUCGGGGCAGGGUGAGUCGACCCCUAAGGCGAGGCCGAAAGGCGUAGUCGAUGGGAAACAGGUUAAUAUUCCUGUACUUGGUGUUACUGCGAAGGGGGGACGGAGAAGGCUAUGUUAGCCGGGCGACGGUUGUCCCGGUUUAAGCAUGUAGGCGGAGGUUCCAGGUAAAUCCGGUACCUUUUUAACGCUGAGGUGUGAUGACGAGGCACUACGGUGCUGAAGUAACAAAUGCCCUGCUUCCAGGAAAAGCCUCUAAGCAUCAGGUAACAUUAAAUCGUACCCCAAACCGACACAGGUGGUCAGGUAGAGAAUACCAAGGCGCUUGAGAGAACUCGGGUGAAGGAACUAGGCAAAAUGGUGCCGUAACUUCGGGAGAAGGCACGCUGAUAUGUAGGUGAAGCCCCUGCGGGUGGAGCUGAAAUCAGUCGAAGAUACCAGCUGGCUGCAACUGUUUAUUAAAAACACAGCACUGUGCAAACACGAAAGUGGACGUAUACGGUGUGACGCCUGCCCGGUGCCGGAAGGUUAAUUGAUGGGGUUAUCCGUAAGGAGAAGCUCUUGAUCGAAGCCCCGGUAAACGGCGGCCGUAACUAUAACGGUCCUAAGGUAGCGAAAUUCCUUGUCGGGUAAGUUCCGACCUGCACGAAUGGCGUAAUGAUGGCCAGGCUGUCUCCACCCGAGACUCAGUGAAAUUGAACUCGCUGUGAAGAUGCAGUGUACCCGCGGCAAGACGGAAAGACCCCGUGAACCUUUACUAUAGCUUGACACUGAACAUUGAGCCUUGAUGUGUAGGAUAGGUGGGAGGCUUUGAAGCGUGGACGCCAGUCUGCGUGGAGCCAACCUUGAAAUACCACCCUUUAAUGUUUGAUGUUCUAACGUUGGCCCCUUAUCGGGGUUGCGGACAGUGUCUGGUGGGUAGUUUGACUGGGGCGGUCUCCUCCCAAAGAGUAACGGAGGAGCACGAAGGUUAGCUAAUCCUGGUCGGACAUCAGGAGGUUAGUGCAAUGGCAUAAGCUAGCUUGACUGCGAGCGUGACGGCGCGAGCAGGUGCGAAAGCAGGUCAUAGUGAUCCGGUGGUUCUGAAUGGAAGGGCCAUCGCUCAACGGAUAAAAGGUACUCCGGGGAUAACAGGCUGAUACCGCCCAAGAGUUCAUAUCGACGGCGGUGUUUGGCACCUCGAUGUCGGCUCAUCACAUCCUGGGGCUGAAGUAGGUCCCAAGGGUAUGGCUGUUCGCCAUUUAAAGUGGUACGCGAGCUGGGUUUAGAACGUCGUGAGACAGUUCGGUCCCUAUCUGCCGUGGGCGCUGGAGAAUUGAGGGGGGCUGCUCCUAGUACGAGAGGACCGGAGUGGACGCAUCACUGGUGUUCGGGUUGUCAUGCCAAUGGCAUUGCCCGGUAGCUAAAUGCGGAAGAGAUAAGUGCUGAAAGCAUCUAAGCACGAAACUUGCCCCGAGAUGAGUUCUCCCUGAGACUUUAAGUCUCCUGAAGGAACGUUAAAGACGAUGACGUUGAUAGGUCGGGUGUGUAAGCGUAGCGAUACGUUGAGCUAACCGAUACUAAUGAACCGUGAGGCUUAACCUUACAACGCCGAAGGUGUUU
This 2932-nucleotide ribosomal RNA is filed under the name Klebsiella aerogenes. Its description in RNAcentral is "23S ribosomal RNA". It matches the Rfam family "Bacterial large subunit ribosomal RNA". Lineage: Bacteria; Pseudomonadati; Pseudomonadota; Gammaproteobacteria; Enterobacterales; Enterobacteriaceae. The record is from RNAcentral.